Molecule: non-coding RNA, 31 nt
Filed under: Rattus norvegicus (Norway rat)
Lineage: Eukaryota; Metazoa; Chordata; Mammalia; Rodentia; Muridae
Source: RNAcentral
AGUCAGUAUAAAUGCUAAAUCUUUUAUCUUU